RNAcentral lists this long non-coding RNA (232 nucleotides) under Lepisosteus oculatus (spotted gar). RNAcentral describes it as "lncRNA (ENSLOCG00000022093.1)". The record is from RNAcentral. Lineage: Eukaryota; Metazoa; Chordata; Actinopteri; Semionotiformes; Lepisosteidae.
CUAAAUAAGUUGUAAAAAAGUUCACACUUGAUUUUUCUAUUUUUCUUUUUUUUCUUUUGUGCUCUCCCUACAUGCUGAAAAUAAUAACCAAGUCCUCCAUAAAAGAGGGAAAUUCUUGGGGUACUAAGUGGAUUACCAGAAAGGUACUGCAACUACUGGAUAGAUGGUGAGUUAAUAACUGUACACGUACUGUACAUCCUUUGAUAUGUGACUUAUUGUAUCUCCAUUAUUU